Molecule: long non-coding RNA, 1054 nt
Organism: Columba livia (rock pigeon)
Lineage: Eukaryota; Metazoa; Chordata; Aves; Columbiformes; Columbidae
Exons: 3
Source: RefSeq, a predicted model, not a curated record
CUUGAGUAAUGAAGUGAGUCAGGGGCGUUGAUGAGAAUGACGUUGGUAAUUUGUCAGCACAAGUCUGAUAUAUGUUUACAUAACUUUGUAUGUGCUCUAAACUGGAGAUACAUAAACAAUUGCUUUUAUUUUUUCAAUGUUUUCGGAAUUAACUUUUUGUUGUCCUGCUUUCCUGGAGAAGAUGUGUCAUAGUCCAGGUACUGACAUUUUCAUCUACAUUGAAAGAAGUGUUGGGAAAGAAGCUCCUGGAAAAUGAAGAAGUCCAGAGAACAGGAAGGAAGACAUCACAGCCACAGAGUUUUUUUAGAAGAGGGAGGAAAAAACAAUUGAAGUACUAAGGUCAGAGAGAAUUAAAAAGCCUUUCACAGCAACAGAAAAUGUCAUGUACUGCAGAACUAAAGUUCUGGAAGAACACCAUGAAAAUUCCAGGUGCCCCUUUCAGUCCUGAGGCUGACAGUGACAGUCUUCCUUAGACAGCAUAGAGAUGGUUGAAGCAGGUGGUGAGUUUUCUAGGUUCUUCAUUGUUUCUUCUUCCUUCUCUCCUUUCUCCUUUUUAGAUAAGAUUCACCAGGGUUUAUUUGUAUGUAUUUUCUGAAGUGCUUUUAAAUCUUGUUCUUCAUUGAUUUGGAAUUCCAUGUUACACCUAAAUUUACUAGACAUGAUAUGUGUUUGUGUUUGCUUGGUUUUGACUCGUAAAACUGUUUGUGUUCAACUUCCGGUUUGCAUUUUCAUAACUCACCUUGGUGAACUGUUGAUAAACUUUAGUUUCAUCCUGUGCUUUGUUCCUUACCUUCUCGUUGCUGCACUUCUAUACACCACAGCCUUAUGUCCUGACUUCUCAAGGUCUCUGCUGUCAAAUAGGCUUGUAUUUCCAUAAGCUGAAGCAUUAUAUUGCAGUAAUAAAUAAACAGGGGGAAAAUGGUAAAAAGUAAAAAAAAAAUAAAAAAAAAUAAAAUAAAAAUAAAAAAAAAAAGGCCAACGUAGUCAUUAGGAAAAAAAAAAAAAAAAAAAAAAAAAAGAAACCAACCAAAAAAAAGAAAAAACAAAAACAAAA